Molecule: ribosomal RNA, 425 nt
Filed under: uncultured bacterium
Lineage: Bacteria
Description: partial 16S ribosomal RNA
Rfam family: Bacterial small subunit ribosomal RNA
Source: RNAcentral
GUAGGGAAUCUUGCGCAAUGGGCGAAAGCCUGACGCAGCCAUGCCGCGUGAAUGAUGAAGGUCUUAGGAUUGUAAAAUUCUUUCACCGGGGACGAUAAUGACGGUACCGGGAGAAGAAGCUCCGGCUAACUUCGUGCCAGCAGCCGCGGUAAUACGAAGGGGGCUAGCGUUGCUCGGAAUUACUGGGCGUAAAGGGCGCGUAGGCGGACAGCUUAGUCAGAGGUGAAAGCCCAGGGCUCAACCUUGGAAUUGCCUUUGAUACUGGCUGUCUUGAGUUUUGGAGAGGUGAGUGGAACUCCGAGUGUAGAGGUGAAAUUCGUAGAUAUUCGGAAGAACACCAGUGGCGAAGGCGACUCACUGGCCCAAUACUGACGCUGAGGCGCGAAAGCGUGGGGAGCAAACAGGAUUAGAAACCCCAGUAGUCC